AUUGAACGCUGGCGGCAUGCUUUACACAUGCAAGUCGAACGGUAACAGGCCGCAAGGUGCUGACGAGUGGCGAACGGGUGAGUAAUGCAUCGGAACGUGCCCAGUCGUGGGGGAUAACUACUCGAAAGAGUAGCUAAUACCGCAUACGAUCUAUGGAUGAAAGCGGGGGACCGUAAGGCCUCGCGCGAUUGGAGCGGCCGAUGUCAGAUUAGGUAGUUGGUGGGGUAAAGGCUCACCAAGCCAACGAUCUGUAGCUGGUCUGAGAGGACGACCAGCCACACUGGGACUGAGACACGGCCCAGACACCUAUGGGAGGCAGCAGUGGGGAAUUUUGGACAAUGGGCGCAAGCCUGAUCCAGCAAUGCCGCGUGCAGGAAGAAGGCCUUCGGGUUGUAAACUGCUUUUGUACGGAAAGAAACGGCUCUGGUUAAUACCCGGGGCUAAUGACGGUACCGUAAGAAUAAGCACCGGCUAACUACGUG
RNAcentral lists this ribosomal RNA (482 nucleotides) under uncultured bacterium. RNAcentral describes it as "partial 16S ribosomal RNA". It matches the Rfam family "Bacterial small subunit ribosomal RNA", at positions 30 to 507 of the family's 1533-position model. The record is from RNAcentral.